RNAcentral lists this unclassified non-coding RNA (433 nucleotides) under soil metagenome. RNAcentral describes it as "partial contains 5.8S ribosomal RNA, internal transcribed spacer 2, and large subunit ribosomal RNA". The stretch from base 1 to 120 matches the Rfam family "5.8S ribosomal RNA", at positions 35 to 154 of the family's 154-position model. The record is from RNAcentral.
GAUGAAGAACGCAGCGAAAUGCGAUACGUAAUGUGAAUUGCAGAAUUCAGUGAAUCAUCGAAUCUUUGAACGCAUAUUGCGCUCUUUGGUAUUCCGAAGAGCAUGCUUGUUUGAGUAUCAGUAAACACCUCAAAACUUUUUUUUUUUUAAAAAAACAGUUUUGGACUUGAGCAAUCCCAACACCAAUCUUUUUUAGAUCGGUGGCGGGUUGCUUGAAAUGCAGGUGCAGCUGGACAUUCUCCUGAGCUAAAAGCAUAUUUAUUUAGUCCCGUCAAACGGAUUAUUACUUUUGCUGCAGCUAAUAUAAAGGGAGUUUGACCGUUUUGGCUGACUGAUGCAGGAUUUCACAAGGGUCGGCAACGAUUCUUGUAAAACUCGAUCUCAAAUCAAGUAAGACUACCCGCUGAACUUAAGCAUAUCAAUAAGCGGAGGA